UGUGUGAGAAAAUUAAUUAGCAUCGGGCUAAUUAAUUCACAAGCUUCCGGAGGCGUACGGCAGCAAGGAAGGGGAGUCGAGUAGUAAGCCAAUAUUAAUUAGAGAAACUAAUUAAUUAAGGUGGCUCCGUCCGUACGGUUAGAGAAGAAGCACCGCGUCUUUGCAUGCGACGUCGGAUCGGAGUCGACAGCAGGAGCGACGGUUCUCGACUAAUUGCCUGAGCGGUUCGGAUUCUUCGAAGCAACGGCAUAAAGGAAUUUGGUCAGAGUUUCUAUACUUCUCUAAUUUGGUCUUAUCGGUUUUACGAAAAGCUUUUUCGGCAUUUUCUUAGAGUUUUCGUUGGAACAAGAGAAAUGUGGGAUUCACCAUAAGGCUCUUGGUUUUUAUCCGGAGAAGACAUAAGGUGUAAGGUUGUAGUUCUAUUUCUUCAUAUAGUGAAAUACAACUCUCUCGCUCUCUCCGUGGACGCAGGUAAUUGUCGAACCACGUAAAUCUUGGUUUCUCCUUUCUGCAUUUAUUUCUUUUACCGUUCGUUCGGUGUUUUCUCUAUUUUUCAUGCAUUUUUAUUGGUAGCACAUGACGGACGAUCCAUCCGGUUCCCAACGC
RNAcentral lists this long non-coding RNA (606 nucleotides) under Ananas comosus (pineapple). RNAcentral describes it as "long non-coding RNA (ACOM_LNC019233)". Lineage: Eukaryota; Viridiplantae; Streptophyta; Magnoliopsida; Poales; Bromeliaceae. The record is from RNAcentral.